GCUGAUGGUUCAGCAUUUGUGUUCAUAAAGCAAGAAUGAAGAUGAUCAUAACUCGUAUAACAUCCAGUUUCAACUUUAUGACUAAUACAUCUGUCGCUGAAGAUCGAGAAGGAAAAAGAUACCUGCCACAGAAACCAUUCAAGUGAGUACUUCAGUCUGAGCCUUAACCUGGAUUCCACGAAAAGAGCUGACCUCCCCUUCAGGAGCACCUCAAGCAGAUAUUCCAGAGGACCUUCUCAAUGGUGCCACAUUGCAAGUGGACAUCCAAGGGACUAUAGAUGCAAGUUGCCCCACCCCCACAAGCCCUGGUGGAAGGAACAGGAGGGCCAGAGCUGGAUCAGGUGGGGAGCAUCCUUAGUCCAGAAGGAAGCUCCCUGGCCCCUGGUUCCCUGCUUACCUGGUAGGUAAGGAUGGGAUUUAUCUCUGGCCUCCACUUUUGCUACAGCACGUCCAAUCCCACACCCCCGGUGGUAUGAAAGCUGCUUUCCUGGAGAGGUGGAGUGGGCUGGGCUUGUAUAAGUCCCUUUUCCCUGCUGCCCCAUCCCCGGGACCGGGCCGUCUCAAUACGGAGAAGUCAGAGCCACGGCACAUGGGCAGUGUGAUGGUACCACAGCCCAUUACACAUGCAGGGUUACUGAGGAGGAGGGUGAAUGAUGUAUUGACCCAGACUGGCUUGAACUGAGAUUGCCAUAUUAUCUGUCCACUUGUUCACAAAGCAGCCUUCACACGUGUCAGUGAGAGUUCGAUGGACACACACGCCAGCGAGCAGGGGCUUCAGUCCAAUGCACUCUUCUCACGUUUUGUUGAAAUAAACCUCCACAUUUGU
This 826-nucleotide long non-coding RNA is filed under the name Mus musculus (house mouse). RNAcentral's name for it is "long non-coding RNA chr11:84400819-84401645". Lineage: Eukaryota; Metazoa; Chordata; Mammalia; Rodentia; Muridae. The record is from RNAcentral.